GCGGCGUGCCUAACACAUGCAAGUCGUACGCGAAAGGGGAGCAAUCCCUGAGUAGAGUGGCAAACGGGUGAGUAACACGUGGGUGACCUGCCUCAGAGUGGGGGAUAACGUCCCGAAAGGGACGCUAAUACCGCAUAACAUCCUGCCUUUGGAAAGGCGGAGAUCAAAGCCGGGGAUCGCAAGACCUGGCGCUUGGAGAGGGGCCCGCGUCUGAUUAGCUAGUUGGUAGGGUAAUGGCCUACCAAGGCAACGAUCAGUAUCCGGCCUGAGAGGGCGGACGGACACACUGGGACUGAGACACGGCCCAGACUCCUACGGGAGGCAGCAGUGGGGAAUUGUUCGCAAUGGGCGCAAGCCUGACGACGCAACGCCGCGUGGAGGAUGAAGAUCUUCGGGUCGUAAACUCCUGUCGAGCGGGACGAACACUUAUCCGGCUAACAUCCGGGUAGGCUGACGGUACCGCUAAAGGAAGCCCCGGCUAACUCCGUGCCAGCAGCCGCGGUAAUACGGGGGGGGCAAGCGUUGUUCGGAAUUACUGGGCGUAAAGGGCUCGUAGGCGGCCAACUAAGUCGGACGUGAAAUCCCCAGGCUCAACCUGGGAACUGCGUCCGAUACUGGAUGGCUUGAAUCCGGGAGAGGGAUGCAGAAUUCCAGGUGUAGCGGUGAAAUGCGUAGAUAUCUGGAGGAAUACCGGUGGCGAAGGCGGCAUCCU
This 712-nucleotide ribosomal RNA is filed under the name uncultured Acidobacteriota bacterium. Its description in RNAcentral is "bacterial SSU rRNA". It matches the Rfam family "Bacterial small subunit ribosomal RNA", at positions 39 to 730 of the family's 1533-position model. The record is from RNAcentral. Lineage: Bacteria; Pseudomonadati; Acidobacteriota.